UGGGGAAUAUUGCACAAUGGGCGCAAGCCUGAUGCAGCAACGCCGCGUGAGGGACGACGGCCUUCGGGUUGUAAACCUCCUUUAGUAGGGAAGAAGCGAAAGUGACGGUACCUGCAGAAAAAGCACCGGCUAACUACGUGCCAGCAGCCGCGGUAAUACGUAGGGUGCGAGCGUUGUCCGGAAUUAUUGGGCGUAAAGAGCUCGUAGGCGGUCUGUCGCGUCUGCUGUGAAAACCCGAGGCUCAACCUCGGGCCUGCAGUGGGUACGGGCAGACUAGAGUGCGGUAGGGGAGAAUGGAAUUCCUGGUGUAGCGGUGGAAUGCGCAGAUAUCAGGAGGAACACCGAUGGCGAAGGCAGUUCUCUGGGCCGUAACUGACGCUGAGGAGCGAAAGCGUGGGGAGCGAACAGGAUUAGAUACCCUGGUAGUCCACGCCGUAAAACGUUGGGCGCUAGAUGUGGGGACCAUUCCACGGUUUCCGUGUCGCAGCUAACGCAUU
RNAcentral lists this ribosomal RNA (497 nucleotides) under uncultured bacterium. RNAcentral's name for it is "partial 16S ribosomal RNA". It matches the Rfam family "Bacterial small subunit ribosomal RNA", at positions 355 to 861 of the family's 1533-position model. The record is from RNAcentral.